Molecule: small nucleolar RNA, 97 nt
Filed under: Candidozyma auris
Lineage: Eukaryota; Fungi; Ascomycota; Pichiomycetes; Serinales; Metschnikowiaceae
Description: Candida auris Small nucleolar RNA snR48
Rfam family: Small nucleolar RNA snR48
About the family: snR48 is a member of the C/D class of snoRNA which contain the C (UGAUGA) and D (CUGA) box motifs. Most of the members of the box C/D family function in directing site-specific 2'-O-methylation of substrate RNAs.
Source: Rfam by way of RNAcentral
ACAAAAGGAUGAAUUUUGUUUAAUAGUAUGUUUUUUCUGGCAUCUCUAAUGUUAGAGCUUCAGCUCGAUGAAUACAACCCUUGACAACUAUCUGAUC